GACGAACGCUGGCGGCGUGCUUAACACAUGCAAGUCGAACGGAAAGGCCCUGCUUUUGUGGGGUGCUCGAGUGGCGAACGGGUGAGUAACACGUGAGUAACCUGCCCUUGACUUUGGGAUAACUUCAGGAAACUGGGGCUAAUACCGGAUAGGAGCUCCUGCUGCAUGGUGGGGGUUGGAAAGUUUCGGCGGUUGGGGAUGGACUCGCGGCUUAUCAGCUUGUUGGUGGGGUAGUGGCUUACCAAGGCUUUGACGGGUAGCCGGCCUGAGAGGGUGACCGGCCACAUUGGUACUGAGAUACGGCCCAGACUCCUACAGGAGGCAGCAGUGGGGAAUAUUGCACAAUGGGCGGAAGCCUGAUGCAGCAACGCCGCGUGCGGGAUGACGGCCUUCGGGUUGUAAACCGCUUUCGCCUGUAACGAAGCGUGAGUGACGGUAAUGGGUAAAGAAGCACCGGCUAACUACGUG
Molecule: ribosomal RNA, 468 nt
Filed under: uncultured bacterium
Lineage: Bacteria
Description: partial 16S ribosomal RNA
Rfam family: Bacterial small subunit ribosomal RNA
Source: RNAcentral